AGAUGUAGUUGGUGUAAAGUGACGUACGUUUGAAUGAUAGGAAACGAUUGAAACACGCGGUAACUUCCCUGCUUAUUUAUCC
This is a non-coding RNA of Ciona intestinalis (vase tunicate), 82 nucleotides long. The record is from RefSeq. NCBI's taxonomy places the organism in Eukaryota, Metazoa, Chordata, Ascidiacea, Phlebobranchia, Cionidae.